CAAUAGCGUAUAUUAACGUUGUUGCAGUUAAAAAGCUCGUAGUUGGAUUUCUGGAGGGAGCGUCGGCCCGUAUUUACGAGUGCGUGACGUCUCUGUCCAUCCUUGCGGGAAGGCACGGCAUUGAUUUGUUGUGUCGGAUCGCAUCAUUUACUGUGAAAAAAUUAGAGUGUUCAAAGCAGGCUUUCGCUUGAAUACAUUAGCAUGGAAUAAUAAGAUAGGACUUUGGUGCUAUUUUGUUGGUUGAGCCUAAAGUAAUGAUUAAUAGGGAUAGUUGGGGGCACCUGUAUUGCGUUGUCAGAGGUGAGAUUCUUGGAUUUACGCAAGACAAACAGCUGCGAANGNGUCUGGNAAGGAUGUUUNCAUUA
This 365-nucleotide ribosomal RNA is filed under the name uncultured eukaryote. RNAcentral describes it as "partial 18S ribosomal RNA". It matches the Rfam family "Eukaryotic small subunit ribosomal RNA", at positions 592 to 975 of the family's 1831-position model. The record is from RNAcentral.